GCUGUUUGAAGUCCCGCGGCAAAGCGGCGACAACACCGGCGCAGCCCGGCGCCCCGACCCCGGCCGCCGAGCUCCCUCCCUGCAGCACCCCGGCACCCCAGCGCCCGGCCCAACCCGGCCCGCCACAUCCGCGCCCGCGCGGCCCAGCCCGAGCCCCGGAACGAUUCCGAGCCCCACGCCGGCGCCCGGUGGCGGGAGGGGGCGCCGAGCCCGCGGCUUACCUGCGUGCUGGAUCCCCGGGCUGCUCGGAGGGGUGCGGGGCGCAGGCGAGUGCGGCCCGCAGACUCUAACUUUGUUGCUCUCGGGACGGCGCAGUCGUCACUUCCUCGCGGAGCGGGCGGUGCGGCCCGGGCUGUGCGGCCCGGGCUGUGACCCAGCGGCUCGCGCGGUGGCGCGCAGGGCCCUGCAGCCAGCCGCCCCGCCCGCGCCCCCGGCUCCGCGCGCCCCUGGCCCCAGGCGCCGUCUCCCCACUCUGCGCGCCCUCGGCUGCGGGGUAGCGGGCAGCCCUGCGCUGCCGGCCGCCUAGCCUGCACCCCCCGCCCUGGGAGGGAAGCCUCGCUCCAGCCGCGUCGUUUCCGCGCCGAAGUGCGAUCCGGGGCCCCGCGCUGGAGUCCCCUGCUCUCAGGUGGCAGUUGCUGGAGUACCAGGGCACCAAGUGGAGGAUGUGGUAGACAGCCUCUAAGAUGCGCCCCCUGCCAAUGAUCUCUGCCUCCAGGGAGGAGCUAGAAGGCAGAGAGAAAGCCACUCAGGACUUCCCAUCCCAGAAGAUAAAGGUGAGGAAAGCAGCAGCAGCAGCCACAGGCCAGUAUUCCAGAGCAGCUUUGGGUUCCUGUCAAGACCUGCUUUGAGAAGGAGGUGGCUGUGGGGCUGGAGGGCUGGGCCUGUUCCUGAGCUGGCUGCUGGCAGCACAGCAAUGAGGCAACAUUGAGAACUGCGACACGAGGCCCAGUCCUGCUACUAAACCAACUGUGUGGACUUGCAUAGUCACUUCACCCCUCGGGCCUCCAUUUCUCCACUUUGGAAAGCAGUGUUGGGACGAUGUUAAGGGUUUGCAACCUUCCAACAUGAAGACUUAUUUUUAAAAGCAAAACAUUUCAAAGAGUCCACAUGACAGUAGUGUUCAUUUUGGCAUCUGUUGAUUUAACAAAUACAAAAUUAGGCUGGGUGUAGUUGCUAACGCCUGUAAUUCCAGCACUUUGGGAGACCGAGGCAGGAGGAUCACCUGAAAUCAGGAGUUCGAGACCAGCCUGGCCAACAUGGUGGAACUCCAUCACUACCAAAAAUACAAAAAUUAGCUGGGCUUGGUGGCACGUGCCUGUAAUCCCAGCUACUCGGGAGGCUGAGGCAGGAGAAUCAUUUGAACCCGGGAGGCAGAGGUUGCAGUGACCUGAGAUUGCACCACUGUACUCCAGCCUGGGCAACAGGGCAAGACUCCAUUAAAAAAAAAAAUACAAAAUUAGGCAUGGUGGUGUUCGUCUGUAGUCCCAUCUAUUUGAGAGGUUAAGGCGGGAGGAUCACUUGAGCUCAGGAGUUUGAGUUUGCAGUGAGCUGUGGUCUGCCUGUGAAUAGCUGCUGCAGUACAGCUUGGGCAACAUAGUGAGAUUCCAUCUCUAGUCUUUAAAAAAAGGAAAAAUACGGCCGGGCGCGGUGGCUCACACUUGUAAUCCUAGCACUUUGGGAGGUCGAGGAGAGAGGAUCACCUGAGGUCAGGAGUUCGAGACCAGCUUGGCCAACAUGGCGAAACCCAUCUCUACUAAAAAUACAAAAAUUAGCUGGGUGUGGUGGCGCACGCCUGUAAUCCUAGCUACUCAGGAGGCUGAGGCAGGAGAAUUGCUUGAACCAGGAGGGAGAGGUUGCAGUGAGCCAAGAUCGUACCACUGCGCUCCAGCUUGGGCAACAUAGAGAGAUCCCAUCUCUAUUUUUUUAAAAAGGAAAAAUACAAGGGAUACCAGAGCACUGGGCCAGUGCUUGUUAUAAAGUCCAUCAAUGGGCCAGGCACGGAGGCUCACACCUGUAAUCCCAACACUUUGGGAAGCCGAAGUGGG
RNAcentral lists this long non-coding RNA (2045 nucleotides) under Homo sapiens (human). Its description in RNAcentral is "HSALNT0377945". The record is from RNAcentral. Lineage: Eukaryota; Metazoa; Chordata; Mammalia; Primates; Hominidae.